AUGGUGAUGCCCAACCCGACCGCGGAGUUCCUACCUCGAUCUGAGAGGUUUUUUGGGUUUUUUGGGGGUUUUUUGGGAAUUCAGAGUGGGAUUUGUGGGAAUGGUGAUGCCCAACCCGACCGUGGAGUUCCUACCUCGAUCUGCGAGGGGUUUUUUAUGGAUUUGGGGGUUUUUUGGGAAUUUGGAGAGGGAUUUGUGGGAAUGGUGACACCCAACCCGACCGUGGAGUUCCUACCUCGAUCUGCGAGGGGUUUUGGGUUUUUUGGGGGUUUUUUGGGAAUUUGGAGUGGGAUUUGUGGGAAUGGUGAUGCCCAACCCGACCGUGGAGUUCCUACCUCGAUCUGCGAGGGGUUUUUUUGGGUUUUUUGGGGUUUUUUUGGGUUUUUUGGGGGUUUUUUGGGAAUUCGGAGUGGGAUUUGUGGGAAUGGUGAUGACCAACCUGACCGUGGAGUUCCUACCUCGAUCUGCGAGGGGUUUUUUGGGUUUUUUUGGGUUUUUUUGGGAAUUCAGGGUGGGAUUUGUGGGAAUGGUGACGCCCAACCCGACCAUGGAGUUCCUACCUCGAUCUGCGAGGGGUUUUUUAUGGAUUUGGGGGUUUUUUGGGAAUUUGGAGUGGGAUUUGUGGGAAUGGUGACGCCCAACCCAACCGUGGAGUUCCUACCUCGAUCUGCGAGGGGUUUUUUGGGUUUUUUGGGGGUUUUUUGGGAAUUCAGGGCGGGAUUUGUGGGAAUGGCGAUGCCCAACCCGACCGUGGAGUUCCUACCUCGAUCUGCGAGGGGUUUUUUUGGGGUUUUUUUGGGGUUUUUUGGGAAUUCAGGGUGGGAUUUGUGGGAAUGGUGAUGCCCAACCCGACCGUGGAGUUCCUACCUCGAUCUGCGAGGGGGUUUAGGGUUUUUUGGGGGUUUUUUUGGGAAUUUGGAGUGGGAUUUGUGGGAAUGGUGAUGCCCAACCCGACCGGGGAGUUCCUACCUCGAUCUGCGAGGGGUUUUUUGGGUUUUUUGGGGUUUUUUGGGAAUUUGGAGCGGGAUUUGUGGGAAUGGCGAUGCCCAACCCGACCGUGGAGUUCCUACCUCGAUCUGCGAGGGGUUUUUUUGGGUUUUUUGGGGUUUUUGGGGGUUUUUUGGGAAUUCAGGGUGGGAUUUGUGGGAAUGGUGAUGCCCAACCCGACCGUGGAGUUCCUACCUCGAUCUGCGAGGGGUUUUUUUGGGUUUUUGGGGGUUUUUUGGGAAUUCAGGGAGGGAUUUGUGGGAAUGGUGAUGCCCAACCCGACCGUGGAGUUCCUACCUCGAUCUGCGAGGGGUUUUUUUGGGUUUUUUGGGGGUUUUUUGGGAAUUUGGAGCGGGAUUUGCGGGAAUGGUGAUGCCCAACCCAACCAUGGAGUUCCUACCUCGAUCUGCGAGGGGUUUUUUAUGGAUUUGGGGGGUUUUUUGGGAAUUUGGAGAGGGAUUUGUGGGAAUGGUGACGCCCAACCCGACCGUGGAGUUCCUACCUCGAUCUGAGAGGGGUUUUUUGGGUUUUUUUGGGGUUUUUUGGGUUUUUUGGGGGUUUUUUGGGAAUUUGGAGAGGGAUUUGUGGGAAUGGUGACGCCCAACCCGACCGUGGAGUUCCUACCUCGAUCUGCGAGGGGUUUUUUGGGUUUUUUGGGGUUUUUUUGGGAAUUUGGAGAGGGAUUUGUGGGAAUGGUGACGCCCAACCCGACCGUGGAGUUCCUACCUCGAUCUGCCAGGGGUUUUUUGGGUUUUUUGGGGGUUUUUUGGGAAUUUGGAGAGGGAUUUGUGGGAAUGGUGAUGCCCAACCCAACCAUGGAGUUCCUACCUCGAUCUGCGAGGGGUUUUUUGGGUUUUUUGGGGUUUUUUGGGAAUUUGGAGUGGGAUUUGUGGGAAUGGUGAUGCCCAACCCGACCGUGGAGUUCCUACCUCGAUCUGCGAGGGGUUUUUUUGGGUUUUUUGGGGGUUUUUUGGGAAUUCAGAGAGGGAUUUGUGGGAAUGGUGAUGCCCAACCCGACCGUGGAGUUCCUAGCUCGAUCUGCGAGGGGGUUUUCGGGUUUUUUGGGGUUUUUUGGGAAUUCAGAGUGGGAUUUGCGGGAAUGGUGAUGCCCAACCCGACCGUGGAGUUCCUACCUCGAUCUGCGAGGGGUUUUUUGGUUUUUUGGGGGUUUUUUGGGAAUUCAGAGCGGGAUUUGUGGGAAUGGUGAUGCCCAACCCAACCAUGGAGUUCCUAUCUCGAUCUGCGAGGGGGUUUUUGGGGUUUUUUGGGUUUUUUUUGGGAAUUCAGGGUGGGAUUUGUGGGAAUGGUGACGC
Molecule: long non-coding RNA, 2300 nt
Filed under: Taeniopygia guttata (zebra finch)
Lineage: Eukaryota; Metazoa; Chordata; Aves; Passeriformes; Estrildidae
Description: lncRNA (ENSTGUG00000027470.1)
Source: RNAcentral